CACGUAGUUAGCCGGGGCUUCUUAGUCAGGUACCGUCAUUUUCUUCCCUGCUGAUAGAGCUUUACAUACCGAAAUACUUCUUCACUCACGCGGCGUCGCUGCAUCAGGGUUCCCCCCCAUUGUGCAAUAUUCCCCACUGCUGCCUCCCGUAGGAGUUUGGGCCGUGUCUCAGUCCCAAUGUGGCCGGUCACCCUCUCAGGCCGGCUACUGAUCGUCGCCUUGGUGGGCCUCUACCCCGCCAACUAGCUAAUCAGACGCGGGUCCAUCGUAUACCGUUUACGCUUUUCACACUGCUCCAUGCGAAGCUGUGCGCUUAUGCGGUAUUAGCACCUAUUUCUAAGUGUUAUCCCCCUGUAUACGGCAGGUUACCCACGCGUUACUCACCCGUCCGCCACUAAACAAAAUCACUAGGUUUCAUUCUGUUCCCGUUCGACUUGCAUGUGUUAGGCACGCCGCCAGCGUUCAUCCUGAGCCAGGAUCAAACUCU
This 487-nucleotide ribosomal RNA is filed under the name uncultured Lachnospiraceae bacterium. Its description in RNAcentral is "partial 16S ribosomal RNA". The record is from RNAcentral. Lineage: Bacteria; Bacillati; Bacillota; Clostridia; Lachnospirales; Lachnospiraceae.